GACGAACGCUGGCGGCGUGCUUAACACAUGCAAGUCGAACGGAAAGGCCCUUCGGGGUACUCGAGUGGCGAACGGGUGAGUAACACGUGGGUGAUCUGCCCUGCACUUUGGGAUAAGCCUGGGAAACUGGGUCUAAUACCGAAUAGGACCACGCGCUUCAUGGUGUGUGGUGGAAAGCUUUUGCGGUGUGGGAUGGGCCCGCGGCCUAUCAGCUUGUUGGUGGGGUAAUGGCCUACCAAGGCGACGACGGGUAGCCGGCCUGAGAGGGUGACCGGCCACACUGGGACUGAGAUACGGCCCAGACUCCUACGGGAGGCAGCAGUGGGGAAUAGUGCACAAUGGGCGCAAGCCUGAUGCAGCGACGCCGCGUGAGGGAUGACGGCCUUCGGGUUGUAAACCUCUUUCACCAGGGACGAAGCGUAAGUGACGGUACCUGGAGAAGAAGCACCGGCCAACUACGUG
Molecule: ribosomal RNA, 462 nt
Filed under: uncultured bacterium
Lineage: Bacteria
Description: partial 16S ribosomal RNA
Rfam family: Bacterial small subunit ribosomal RNA
Source: RNAcentral